This 468-nucleotide ribosomal RNA is filed under the name uncultured bacterium. Its description in RNAcentral is "partial 16S ribosomal RNA". It matches the Rfam family "Bacterial small subunit ribosomal RNA", at positions 28 to 507 of the family's 1533-position model. The record is from RNAcentral.
GAUGAACGCUGGCGGCGUGCUUAACACAUGCAAGUCGAACGGAAAGGCCCAAGCUUGCUUGGGUACUCGAGUGGCGAACGGGUGAGUAACACGUGGGUGAUCUGCCCUGCACUUCGGGAUAAGCCUGGGAAACUGGGUCUAAUACCGGAUAGGACGCUGGCUUGGAUGCCAUUGUGGAAAGUUUUUUCGGUGUGGGAUGAGCUCGCGGCGUAUCAGCUUGUUGGUGGGGUAAUGGCCUACCAAGGCGUCGACGGGUAGCCGGCCUGAGAGGGUGUACGGCCACAUUGGGACUGAGAGACGGCCCAGACUCCGACGGGAGGGAGCAGUGGGGAAUAUUUGACAAUGGGCGCAAGCCUGAUGCAGCGACGCCGCGGGGUGGAUGACGGCCUUCGGGUUGUAAACUCCUUUGGCUAGGAACGAAGCGUUUUUGUGACGGUACCUGGAGAAGAAGCACCGGCUAACUACGUG